This 690-nucleotide ribosomal RNA is filed under the name uncultured bacterium. RNAcentral describes it as "bacterial SSU rRNA". It matches the Rfam family "Bacterial small subunit ribosomal RNA", at positions 32 to 715 of the family's 1533-position model. The record is from RNAcentral.
AACGCUAGCUACAGGCUUAACACAUGCGAGUCGAGGGGCAGCACUAGGUAGCAAUACUGAGGUGGCGACCGGCGCACGGGUGCGUAACGCGUAUCCAACCUUCCCGAUACUCUUGGAUAGCCUUCCGAAAGGGAGAUUAAUACAAGAUGGUGUUUCACUUUCGCAUGUUAUUGAAACUAAAGAUUUAUCGGUAUCGGAUGGGGAUGCGUGACAUUAGAUAGUAGGCGGGGUAACGGCCCACCUAGUCUACGAUGUCUAGGGGUUCUGAGAGGAAGGUCCCCCACACUGGAACUGAGACACGGUCCAGACUCCUACGGGAGGCAGCAGUGAGGAAUAUUGGUCAAUGGUCGGAAGACUGAACCAGCCAAGUAGCGUGAAGGAUGAAGGUUCUAUGGAUUGUAAACUUCUUUUAUACGGGAAUAAAACCUCCCACGUGUGGGAGCUUGUAUGUACCGUAUGAAUAAGCAUCGGCUAACUCCGUGCCAGCAGCCGCGGUAAUACGGAGGAUGCGAGCGUUAUCCGGAUUUAUUGGGUUUAAAGGGAGCGUAGACGGGGGAUUAAGUCAGUUGUGAAAGGCUGCGGCUCAACCGCAGCACUGCAGUUGAUACUGGUUUCCUUGAGUGCGGUUGAGGUGUAUGGAAUUCGUGGUGUAGCGGUGAAAUGCUUAGAUAUCACGAAGAACUCCGAUUG